Molecule: ribosomal RNA, 451 nt
Filed under: uncultured bacterium
Lineage: Bacteria
Description: partial 16S ribosomal RNA
Rfam family: Bacterial small subunit ribosomal RNA
Source: RNAcentral
AGCGAACGCUGGCGGCAUGCUUAACACAUGCGAGUCGCACGAAGGUUUCGGCCUUAGUGGCGGACGGGUGAGUAACGCGUAGGAAUCUAUCCAUGGGUGGGGGAUAACACUGGGAAACUGGUGCUAAUACCGCAUGAUACCUGGGGGUCAAAGGCGCAAGUCGCCUGUGGAGGAGCCUGCGUUCGAUUAGCUAGUUGGUGGGGUAAAGGCCUACCAAGGCGAUGAUCGAUAGCUGGUUUGAGAGGAUGAUCAGCCACACUGGGACUGAGACACGGCCCAGACUCCUACGGGAGGCAGCAGUGGGGAAUAUUGGACAAUGGGGGCAACCCUGAUCCAGCAAUGCCGCGUGUGUGAAGAAGGUCUUCGGAUUGUAAAGCACUUUCGACGGGGACGAUGAUGACGGUACCCGUAGAAGAAGCCCCGGCUAACUUCGUGCCAGCCGCCGCGGUAA